RNAcentral lists this ribosomal RNA (470 nucleotides) under uncultured bacterium. Its description in RNAcentral is "SSU rRNA". It matches the Rfam family "Bacterial small subunit ribosomal RNA", at positions 26 to 518 of the family's 1533-position model. The record is from RNAcentral.
AGGAUAAACGCUGGCGGCGUGCCUAACACAUGCAAGUCGAACGUCUCUUUCUUCGGGAAGAGGAGUGGCGGACGGGUGAGGAACACGUGGGAACCUGCCCUUUAGUGAGGAAUACCGGCGAGAAAUCGCCGACAAGACCGCAUAGCCCUCUUUGAUGAGAGUCAAAGAAGGAAAGCUUCGCAAGAGGCGCUAGAGGAGGGGCCUGCGUCCGAUUAGCUAGUUGGUGGGGUAAGAGCCUACCAAGGCGUCGAUCGGUAGCUGGUCUGAGAGGACGAUCAGCCACACUGGGAUUGAGAACGGCCCAGACUCCUACGGGGGGCAGCAGUGAGGAAUUUUCGGCAAUGGGGGAAACCCUGACCGAGCAACGCCGCGUGCAGGAAGACGGCCUUCGGGUUGUAAACUGCUUUUCUUGGGAAGAGAACGGACGGUACCAGAGGAAUCAGCCCGGCUCACUACGCGCCAGCAGCCGC